CUCUUAUAUUAUCUCUCCGCUCGCUUACCCACUCUCUUACUGAAGCCAUCUCACAAUGACUGGGAAUUUACCAUGCGUCCUCGUUAAUAUAUAAUGCACGAGGGAACCCAAGGCUCUCAUUUGGAAUCGCGACCGUAUCUAAUUCCAGCAAUAAUCGUAGCGAGGGAACCCAAGGCUCUCAUUUGGAAUCGCGACCGUAUCUACUUCCAGCAAUAAUCGGAGCGAUUAACACAUCCGCAUGCGCACCUCAAGUGCACCUUCCCUCGGUCUCUCUUUGUUUUGUUACACUGAAACAUGCUCAUUUUCACUUUUUGGAGAUUAACCCCACUUAAAAUAAUUUUAACAAGCGUGCUAAGAUAUAGAAAAUUGCUACUGUCACAACCUUAUAGAAUGUUCGCCAUUGCAACAUAAUGAUCAGAAGCUGCUACUAAACAUCCAUAAGAAGAGCACUCCAAGCUGUUCAGCUUGUUCUUGUCGAUGACGGAUCU
This 488-nucleotide long non-coding RNA is filed under the name Elaeis guineensis (African oil palm). RNAcentral's name for it is "long non-coding RNA (EGUI_LNC000445)". The record is from RNAcentral. Lineage: Eukaryota; Viridiplantae; Streptophyta; Magnoliopsida; Arecales; Arecaceae.